Molecule: ribosomal RNA, 301 nt
Filed under: uncultured bacterium
Lineage: Bacteria
Description: partial 16S ribosomal RNA
Rfam family: Bacterial small subunit ribosomal RNA
Source: RNAcentral
CAGUCGCCACGGGAAUACGAAGGGGGCUAGCGUUGCUCGGAAUUACUGGGCGUAAAGGGAGCGUAGGCGGAUAGUUUAGUCAGAGGUGAAAGCCCAGGGCUCAACCUUGGAAUUGCCUUUGAUACUGGCUAUCUUGAGUAUGGAAGAGGUAUGUGGAACUCCGAGCGUAGAGGUGAAAUUCGUAGAUAUUCGGAAGAACACCAGUGGCGAAGGCGACAUACUGGUCCAUUACUGACGCUGAGGCUCGAAAGCGUGGGGAGCAAACAGGAUUAGAUACCAGCGUAGUCCCUGUCUCUUAUAC